Molecule: ribosomal RNA, 469 nt
Filed under: Whittenia vermiculum
Lineage: Eukaryota; Metazoa; Mollusca; Gastropoda; Architaenioglossa; Diplommatinidae
Description: Opisthostoma vermiculum partial 16S ribosomal RNA
Rfam family: Archaeal large subunit ribosomal RNA
Source: RNAcentral
CUGCAGUAUCCUGACUGUGCAAAGGUAGCGCGAUAAUUUGCCUUAUAAUUGAAGGAUGGUAUGAAUGGUUUGACUAGGGCAUAGCUGUCUCUUAUGUAUAGAUUAAAAGUUAACUUUUAGGUUAAAAGGCCUAAAUUUAAUUAAAGGACGAGAAGACCCUAUUGAGCUUUAUAAGGAUAUUUUAAUUGAUUUAUAUAAUGGAGUUUGCUUAUUGAUUUGUGAAUUUUAGUUGGGGCGACUUAGGAACAUAUGGAGCUUCCUUUGUAUAUUAGUUUGUGAAUUUGAUCCAGAUUAUUCUGAAUUAUGAACAAGUUACCAUAGGGAUAACAGCGUAAUUUUUUUUGAGAGUACUAAUCGAAAUUUAAGUUUGCGACCUCGAUGUUGGAUUAGGGAAAUGCAUAGGUUGCAGCAGCUUUUGUGGUUAGUCUGUUCGACUAUUUAACCCUACAUGAUCUGAGUUCAAACCGGA